This 623-nucleotide ribosomal RNA is filed under the name Cryptosporidium parvum. RNAcentral's name for it is "bacterial SSU rRNA". The stretch from base 76 to 623 matches the Rfam family "Eukaryotic small subunit ribosomal RNA", at positions 1 to 957 of the family's 1831-position model. The record is from RNAcentral. Lineage: Eukaryota; Apicomplexa; Conoidasida; Eucoccidiorida; Cryptosporidiidae.
AUGUCCUUACUCCUUCAGCACCUUAGAGAUAAAGUUCUAGAGCUUAUACAUGCGUUCCUGAUUCGAAGGAAAGGGGACUGUUUCUAGAGCUAAUACAUGCGCCCCGGUUAAAAAGAAAAAAGGUCGUAGUAAGAGACAAACCUGCCAACUACCCAAAAAAGAAAAGGGGGGGUGUCUAAAGAAAUAACACUACAGGACUUUGGAUAUGUAAUUGGAAUGAGUUAAGUAUAAACCUUUACAAGUAUCAAUUGGAGGGCAAGUCUGGUGCCAGCAGCCGCGGUAAUUCCAGCUCCAAUAGCGUAUAUUAAAGUUGUUGCAGUUAAAAAGCUCGUAGUUGGAUGUCUGUUAAUAAUUUAUAUAAAAUAUUUUGAAUAUUUAUAUAACAUUAACAUAAUUCAUAUUACUAUAUUUUAGUAUAUGAAAUUUUACUUUGAGAAAAUUAGAGUGCUUAAAGCAGGCAUAUCCUUGAAUACUCCAGCAUGGAAUAAUAUUAAAGAUUUUUAUCUUUAUUGGUUCUAAGAUAAGAAUAAUGAUUAAUAGGGACAGUUGGGGGCAUUUGUAUUUAACAGUCAGAGGUGAAAUUCUUAGAUUUGUUAGAGACAAACUAAUUGCGAAAGCAUUCA